GUAUAAGACUGCGGGAAUUACAGAUAACCUAAACGUCCUAAACCUAAACUGGGGCCGUGUUCCAAAAUUCACUGCCAGCGUUGAAACUCUAUAGUUUAUGUCACGUACACUAUAGCUUUUCAGCGCUGGCAGUGAAUUUUGGAACAUGGCUUGUGUAUAACCUAAGCGUGUGCGUGCGUGUUCGUGCGUGCGUGUGAGACUGCGGGAAUUACAAUUCUUCUCGGACUAUCUAAAAUUCCAGUAACAUGCGGGGAUCUUGCUGUUAAUUUUAUUUUUUGUUACUUGGUGAUUAUUAAUGUCGCACACUUCCGUCAAUAUGCAACAUUUUCACCGUUCUAUUGUCAGAUCUGCUCUAAUGUUGUCGUCAAUUUGAUUGUGGAAUAUGUUCGUCAGAUUUGGUUCACAGUGGAGACCAACUGAGGACACAGUAGGCUCUGGCUUUGGCAUUAUAGUUCCGCUGAUAUUUGUUUCUCAUUUGGCAACAUCCCACAAUCAAAAUGUUUGCUGGCCACUUUUGUUGUCCAUUGGUGACGCAGCCACAAUGCAUCAGUAAAGAAAUGUCCAUCGGCAGCGUAAACAUAGACGGUCAAAAUUAUUGAGCACGUCUACAAAGAUUUUGUUUGAAGAUUUGGGAACCGAAGAAACACGCGGAGAAAACUCAAAAUCCAGAGCACGUGAUACCAGUUAACAAACUUAGGAACGUUAGUUAAAUUAUCGAAAUCUUCCAGUAAAGAACUUCUGACUUCUGAUAAACAAUUCUAAUAAUGGCACGGAUGUCAUUAUGGAAUAGGUUUGAAUCGAAGGAGGAAGCUCAAAAAUGGUUAAAGCUCUUUUUGGCACAAAUUAACGAUCAUUCGAGGUGGAAACAUGCCACAGAAGUUAUUAAAAGAGUAUCUAACAUUAAAAGUACAAGAAACUUUUAUUAUUAAUAAAAGACAAAUUCUUUAUAUGAUGAGACCUUUUUAAUAGAAUCGAUCCCGUCGAAUUAUACAUUCGCAAAGGUCUACUGUACAUACAAACGAUUUUUUAUCUUACAUCUGGUACUAUUUUAAACAGUUGUAGUUCCAUGAAUAGUCCAACAAGCUUGCGUUUAUGUUCACUGAACAUCAGCGGUGUGUUUAAACAAAGUGGUAUUACUCUAAAGCCUUAUUUAACUUCCUCUAAUAUUAAAAAUAACGUGUCAUAGUGUCGUUACAAUUUUUUUGAGAAAACCGUAAGUGCUGAAUUAUUGUAUCAUCAUAUCGCUAAAAUAGGCUCCUAUCGUAUGUGAAUCUUAUUACGUCUCUUUAGUGCAAUUUCUAUUUUAAUAAGAUAAAAUAAGAGUAAAACAAACACGGACAAAAUGUAUGGUACGAAUUUACUCGGAUAGUGUAAAGCGUGUAAAAAACAUUGCGAAAGUAUUCGAAAGACGUUAUAGAUUGUUUGAGCUAUCUUUUAAAGUCUUCCAAAUUGUUGUGUUUCUAAAUAUACACGGCUUGUUGAGAAACUGUGCUUCGUGUGUUAGAGAGUGUGCUAUUUUUCACAAUUUCAUACAAAAACGAAAAUUCGCAUUAAGGCGACUGUCAGAUAAUAAAGAAAUCUACAUAUAUGUAUGUAUGUAGCAAAUAAAGUUUUUUUAUAUAA
This is a long non-coding RNA of Ooceraea biroi (clonal raider ant), 1623 nucleotides long. RefSeq lists it as uncharacterized. The record is from RefSeq and is a predicted model, not a curated record. Lineage: Eukaryota; Metazoa; Arthropoda; Insecta; Hymenoptera; Formicidae.